RNAcentral lists this ribosomal RNA (267 nucleotides) under uncultured archaeon. Its description in RNAcentral is "partial 16S ribosomal RNA". It matches the Rfam family "Archaeal small subunit ribosomal RNA", at positions 717 to 982 of the family's 1478-position model. The record is from RNAcentral.
ACACGACUACAUUAGAUACCCCUGUAGUCCAGGGUGUAAACGCUGCGGGCUUGGUGUUGGGGGGUCCCUUUUGAGGGCGCCCAGUGCCGGAGAGAAGUUGUUAAGCCUGCUGCUUGGGGAGUACGUCCGCAAGGAUGAAACUUAAGGAAUUGGCGGGGGAGCACCGCAACGGGAGGAGCGUGCGGUUCAAUUGGAUUCAACGCCGGACAACUCACCAGGAGCGACGGUUACAUGAAGGCCAGGCUGAUGACCUUGCCUGAUUUUCCG